RNAcentral lists this non-coding RNA (32 nucleotides) under unclassified sequences. RNAcentral's name for it is "L31-Firmicutes ribosomal protein leader". It matches the Rfam family "L31-Firmicutes ribosomal protein leader". The record is from RNAcentral.
CUAUGGCAAAAAAUUUGUCAUGGCGGAAGGAG